This 1575-nucleotide long non-coding RNA is filed under the name Olea europaea subsp. europaea. The record is from RNAcentral. Lineage: Eukaryota; Viridiplantae; Streptophyta; Magnoliopsida; Lamiales; Oleaceae.
CCACUUUCUUCUCUGCACAGCACAGUGCCCCGCAGCUGCAGUCAAUUUCAAAUUCAAUUUUCCCUUCCCCCAAAUCCAAUUCUUGAUUUCCUUCAGUCAAACCCUUCUUGAGUUCUACUUCUUCCCCCAAAUCCGAUUCCUUCCCGGCAUGUGUGAGCGUGUCCAAUUGGUACGAAUUACGAAAUACGAAUUGUGAAUUUGUGAUAUGAUUUCAAUUUCAAUUUUCAAGUAUAACGUUAAAUUGGGGCAUGUUUACUGUUUAUGAUUAAUUGUUGUUGUUUUUUUUUUUUAGAAAUUUGUUAUGCUCUCUCUUUCUCCCUCUCCCUCUCCCUCCCCGCAGCCUGCGCAUUGGUAAAUUUUUAAGGUUUUGAUUUUUGAAUUGCUUCAAUUUAGGCUUACAGCUUACUGUUUGGGAAUUUUGUUGAAAUUGGUUUUAUUGUGAUGUUUUUAAUUGUGCGGUUUGGAGAUUUGCAGUAUUUUGAAGUUUUAUCUGUAAUAGUCUCGUCCUUUUGAGUUUGAUUUAAGUUUUUAUGUAUUGGUUUUAUUGUGAUUUAAGUUUUUAUAAAGUGUUUAUGGCUUUUAAUAAAUGGUGGAAACUGGAAAGUAAAUAAGUAAUGGGAGAAACGGUUUUGAUAAGACGAUAACGAAAGUUGGGGCUUUUAAUAAAUGGUGGAAAGUUGGAAAGUUUUUAUGCUUGUUAAUAAAUGGUUGAAUUCUUGAUUUUUUAAUCAAUUUUAAUUGAAAAUUAAAUUGGGUUGUCUAAGUUUACAAUUACAAAGUAAGGCUGUAUUGUAUAUUUUUUUCAGCAUUUUGGAUUGUAUUGAACUAUAUUUUCAUAUGUAUAUAAUUUCUACGUUUUAGUGCAUUUACAUAUAUAUUGAAUAAUUUUUAAUAUUAUUUAAUCAAAUUCUAAUAAACAGUCGGCCGCCGAUCGGAUCGGGCUUUUACGAUCGUUAAUUGUCGAUGGUUAAAGUCAACCUCCGCUCUAACUAAAGAUUUAUGCUGGAUUCGCCCCUAACUACGAGUCAUAUGAAGUUAAUGAUCAUGGUCACAUAAAGAGAUUUUAUAGUUCAAUAUCAAACUACUCAAAAAUCAAUGUAUCUUGAAGUUACAAAACUAAUUUUUAAAAGUCACAUGAAGUCGUCAACAGUGAAACAUUUUUGGAGUUUUGCUAACAACAUAACCUGAUUUCAAAAAUGUUGGAAGAAAAUGGGUCGUCCAUGACCCGACCCGAUUUGCAUGGAAGUGAAUUUUGGAGGGAGGGGUUGAAAAUUGAAUUUAAAAGUUAACCUCUCGACCACCCAUAACUCCCAUCAACUUCCAUUAUUCAUUCUUCUAAAAAGCAAAAAAAAAAAAAAAAACAAACAAACAAACAAAACAAAACAAAAAAACAAAACAAAACAAAAAAUUCGGGUUAAGGGAGUGGAAGAAAAAUACAUGAGGAAAAAAGCUUGAUAUUUUGGAAGAUAACAUCUCAAAUUGGGAUCUUAGAUUGUAAACAACAAACUUCUUCCUUGGUGAUCGAGUUUUGACCAAGAAGCGGGUACAAGGCGAUGUUGGAGGCAAGUAAUUCUA